AGAGCGAACGCUGGCGGCAGGCUUAACACAUGCAAGUCGAGCGGGCGUAGCAAUACGUCAGCGGCAGACGGGUGAGUAACGCGUGGGAACGUACCUUUUGGUUCGGAACAACACAGGGAAACUUGUGCUAAUACCGGAUAAGCCCUUACGGGGAAAGAUUUAUCGCCAAAAGAUCGGCCCGCGUCUGAUUAGCUAGUUGGUGAGGUAACGGCUCACCAAGGCGACGAUCAGUAGCUGGUCUGAGAGGAUGAUCAGCCACAUUGGGACUGAGACACGGCCCAAACUCCUACGGGAGGCAGCAGUGGGGAAUAUUGGACAAUGGGCGCAAGCCUGAUCCAGCCAUGCCGCGUGAGUGAUGAAGGCCCUAGGGUUGUAAAGUCUCUUUUGUGCGGGAAGAUAAUGACGGUACCGCAAGAAUAACGCCCGGCUAACUUCGUGCCAGCAGCCGC
Molecule: ribosomal RNA, 449 nt
Filed under: uncultured bacterium
Lineage: Bacteria
Description: SSU rRNA
Rfam family: Bacterial small subunit ribosomal RNA
Source: RNAcentral